This 65-nucleotide transfer RNA is filed under the name Lepidophyma flavimaculatum (yellow-spotted night lizard). RNAcentral's name for it is "tRNA-Cys". The record is from RNAcentral. Lineage: Eukaryota; Metazoa; Chordata; Lepidosauria; Squamata; Xantusiidae.
AGUUUUGUGGUGUUAUCAUGCCAGAGUGCAAAUCUGGAGAAGCGUUGUAAUAGGCGCCGGGACUU